Molecule: ribosomal RNA, 334 nt
Filed under: uncultured bacterium
Lineage: Bacteria
Description: bacterial SSU rRNA
Rfam family: Bacterial small subunit ribosomal RNA
Source: RNAcentral
AAUCAACGCUGGCGGCGUGCCUCAGACAUGCAAGUCGAACGCGAAAGUCCCCUUCGGGGGACAAGUAGAGUGGCGCACGGGUGAGUAACACGUAGGUAAUCUACCUUUGGAUGGGGAAUAACAACCGGAAACGGUUGCUAAUACCGCAUAAUGCAGCGGCACCUAAUGGUGACAGUUGCUAAAGCGGGGGGAUCGAAAGACCUCGCGUCUGAAGAGGAGCCUGCGGCGGAUUAGCAGUUGGUAAGGUAAUGGCUUACCAAGGCUACGAUCCGUAACCGGCCUGAGAGGGCGGUCGUCACACUGACACUGACAUACGGGUCAGACUCCUACGGGA